Molecule: Y RNA, 99 nt
Filed under: Colobus angolensis palliatus
Lineage: Eukaryota; Metazoa; Chordata; Mammalia; Primates; Cercopithecidae
Description: Y RNA (ENSCANG00000013947.1)
Rfam family: Y RNA
About the family: Y RNAs are components of the Ro ribonucleoprotein particle (Ro RNP), in association with Ro60 and La proteins. The Y RNAs and Ro60 and La proteins are well conserved, but the function of the Ro RNP is not known. In humans the RNA component can be one of four small RNAs -- hY1, hY3, hY4 and hY5.
Source: Rfam by way of RNAcentral
GGCUGAUCUGAGUGGAAUGGUGUUUACAAUUAAUUGAUUACAACCAGUUACAGAUUUAUUUAUUUCUCCACUCCCACUGCUUCAUUUGACUAGCCUUAA